GAAAAUGUGCAGAAAGAGUUUGGCGUUUAUUUGCUAGUUGGAACUUACAGAGUAUGGAGGUGCUCGAUAAGACCAGUCAUUUUAGAAGAUUUAUUAUUGCUUGCCUGUAUUUGAAUUAUAAAGUGGAAUGUGAAAAUACGUCAACCCAAUCGUGUUACAAGAGAGGUUUGUGAACGAGGAUUAAGUAGCUCUUAUCACAAGUGACCCCCCGAAGUAUCACUUCACUGAUUUCUGCUACCGAAGAAAGUGGAAUGUGAAGAGACUUCAAGCCAGUCGUGUUACAAGAGAGGUCUGUGAACGUUGAUCAACAAGUGACCCCCGAAGGAUUACUCGACUGAUUUCUGUUACUUAAGAAGAAGUGUAGCGUUUGGAGUGUGGGGCCAGAUUCAUUCAACAAAAGUAGCAAGAGUGGGUACUAGUUUUAGUGCUGCUGUUUCUACCCUGGUGAAAGGACUCGCUCGUCUUCUUUCACAGCUACGUUGAAGUCUCCCAUAUCUCUCGCCCACGUUUCGUACUAGCCUGCCUUUCGUUUAGCUUUUCCUUUAGUCUCGUUUCCGGCUGUUUCACACAUGCAAAGUCUCCUUGACUAAAUGUCCACAUUUAGGUUUUGAGGUGAGAGGGAAGCUUGUGAGUGAGUGCAGGUUGUCAAGGAAACUAUUAGGAAUGUGACAGUACAUGUUUGGGAAACAGGCAAGUUUGAAAUGUGGGCGAGAGAAUUUUUAUGUUUACGAAUGUAAUUUCAAAUAACAUUGAUACCUGUAACUUAGAAUUUCAUUCAAUUAUAUUUUGUAAAAAAAAAAAUUUUGAACAAAUUAAAUAUUAACGUUUAAGUAUUAUAUAUAUACAUUCUAGGUUUGUUGUUUAUUGUAGUAAAUUUUAUCACAUUUGAAAUUGUAAUAAAUUUGUAUAAUUACAUUAUUAUUUAGCUUGCUUUUACAGUUUUCUAUAUUCAAAUUUUACUAAUUUUAAUUUACAAAAUCCAAAUUUUAGGUAUUUUAAUUAACAAAAAUAUACUGUCAUGUCCAUUUA
Long non-coding RNA from Macrobrachium nipponense, 1029 nucleotides. RefSeq lists it as uncharacterized. The transcript is spliced from 4 exons. The record is from RefSeq and is a predicted model, not a curated record. Lineage: Eukaryota; Metazoa; Arthropoda; Malacostraca; Decapoda; Palaemonidae.